This 433-nucleotide ribosomal RNA is filed under the name uncultured bacterium. Its description in RNAcentral is "partial 16S ribosomal RNA". It matches the Rfam family "Bacterial small subunit ribosomal RNA", at positions 29 to 507 of the family's 1533-position model. The record is from RNAcentral.
AACGAACGCUGGCGGCAUGCCUAACACAUGCAAGUCGAACGAGACCUUCGGGUCUAGUGGCGCACGGGUUCGUAACGCGUGGGAACCUGCCCUUAGGUUCGAAAUAACUCCCCGAAAGGGAUGCUAAUACCGGAUAAUGUCUUCGGACCAAAGAUUUAUCGCCUUUGGUUGGGCCCGCGUUGGAUUAGCUAGUUGGUAGGGUAAAAGCCUACCAAGGCGACGAUCCAUAGCUGGUCUGAGAGGAUGAUCAGCCACACUGGGACUGAGACACGGCCCAGACUCCUACGGGAGGCAGCAGUGGGGAAUAUUGGACAAUGGGCGAAAGCCUGAUCCAGCAAUGCCGCGUGAGUGAUGAAGGCCUUAGGGUUGUAAAGCUCUUUUACCCGGGAUGAUAAUGACAGUACCGGGAGAAUAAGCUCCGGCUAACUCCGUG